Molecule: ribosomal RNA, 300 nt
Filed under: uncultured Methanomassiliicoccus sp.
Lineage: Archaea; Methanobacteriati; Thermoplasmatota; Thermoplasmata; Methanomassiliicoccales; Methanomassiliicoccaceae
Description: bacterial SSU rRNA
Rfam family: Bacterial small subunit ribosomal RNA
Source: RNAcentral
GCGAAGGCAGGGUCAGCAGGCGCGGUAAGACGGAGGAUCCAAGCGUUAUACGGAAUGAUUGGGGGUAAAGGGGCCGUAGGCGGUCUGAUAAGUCAGUGGUGAAAGCCCAUCUCUCAACGAUGGAACUGCCAUUGAUACUGUAAGACUUGAAUGCUUAGGAAGUAACUAGAAUAUGUAGUGUAGCGGUGAAAUGCUUAGAUAUUACAUGGAAUACCAAUUGCGAAGGCGGGUUACUACUAAGUGAUUGACGCUGAUGGACGAAAGCGUGGGGAGCGAACAGGAUUAGAUACCCCUGUAGUC